UACGUAGGUGGCAGGCGUUAUCCGGAAUUACUGGGCGUAAAGCGCACGCAGGCGGCUAGUCAAGUUCGACGUGAAAGCUCCCGGCUUAACUGGGAGAGGUCGUUGAAAACUGGUUAGCUUGAGGCAAUGAGAGGGGUGUAGAAUUCCCGGUGUAGUGGUGGAAUGCGUAGAUAUCGGGAGGAAUACCAGUGGCGAAAGCGGCACCCUAGCGUUGUUCUGACGCUCAUGUGCGAAAGCGUGGGGAGCGAACGGG
Molecule: ribosomal RNA, 253 nt
Filed under: uncultured bacterium
Lineage: Bacteria
Description: partial 16S ribosomal RNA
Rfam family: Bacterial small subunit ribosomal RNA
Source: RNAcentral